CACUUAUCAUUAUUCUAAUUCACAUAUUUUGUAAAUUCAAUUAAAAAAUUGUGUUACCUUCAUCAUUGCAUUUUAAUAAAUUAUUAAAGGUAAUUCGAGUUUUACUUAGGUACUGAUUGAGCUUAAUGUAUGCAGGUCAAGUCACGCUUAAUUAGGUAAAGCCUAAACUACACUACAUCAUUUCACAAUUUCACAUUCUCCGGAGUCGACUCUAAGAACUCAUCUCCGAAAUCCAAUGCUAUCCAAAUUUCAAAUUAUAUCAUCUUUAGCCGCACGGAUCCUAAAGAAUUUCAGCUUUAUCCCUUCCAAAAUGCUCUGCAUCCUUCCCAGCAAAACAAUAUCAUUUCCAACGUUUUCCCAUUCUCCAGCAUCCGCAGUUGAUCCCAUGUGAAGUCUCAAAUCCCGCUCCACGGACAACGCUCACGUGUGCAUGGCCUCCGCGUUUGCCUCUUCCGGAUCACUCCCAACGGCGGAUCAGAUCAACUCUGAGAACAAGCUUAUCCUCUUCCCAUCGUAUCCACGUCAACAAACCUCCCAUGCUAGCCUUCCCCUGUUCCACGACAUUCACCCAGAACCAAUCCCA
RNAcentral lists this long non-coding RNA (583 nucleotides) under Phoenix dactylifera (date palm). RNAcentral describes it as "long non-coding RNA (PDAC_LNC007394)". Lineage: Eukaryota; Viridiplantae; Streptophyta; Magnoliopsida; Arecales; Arecaceae. The record is from RNAcentral.